UGGGGAAUAUUGCACAAUGGGGGGAACCCGUGAUGCAGCGACGCCGCGUGGGUGAAGGAGUACUUCGGUACGUAAAGCCCUAUCAGCAGGAAAGAAAAUGACGGUACCUGACUAAGAAGCCCCGGCUAACUACGUGCC
Molecule: ribosomal RNA, 138 nt
Filed under: uncultured bacterium
Lineage: Bacteria
Description: partial 16S ribosomal RNA
Rfam family: Bacterial small subunit ribosomal RNA
Source: RNAcentral